GAGGAAAAAAAUCUCAAUGCCAGCUCAUUUGAUGUAUGAUGGCCGGGAUGACAACCUAUUCGAACACUUCUCUGCCGUAGCUCAACGCCUUGGUGUAUACACUGCAAAGGAUUAUGCAGAUAUUCUUGAAUUUCUGGUGGGAAGAUGGGAAAUAGAAAAAUUGACUGGUCUUUCUGGUGAAGGUCACAAAGCACAAGAUUAUGUAUGUGGUCUGGCUCCGCGUAUAAGAAAAUUGGAGGAGAGGGCACAAGCAAGGGCCAAGCAGAAGGCUCCUGUUCCUUUCAGCUGGGUAUUUGGUAAAGAUAUUAAACUUUGAAUGAUAUAUGUUGUAGGAUUAUGUUACUUUCGGAGCACCAAUCGACAUAGGAAUGCUAGUAAGUAAUUUCAGGUUAUGGUAUCUAUCAAGUCAGUAUUUGUAAGGAAGAUGCUAUGGUGUUAUAACUACUGCACUAUAAUCUUGUAGAUACCUUAAAUUUUGUUUUUGUUCUGCUAUCGUUUAUGGCUCAUAUCAAGAAAAUGACAGCCUUUAAUUUUUACCUCCCCUUUUAGAACAUGUAGGUUCUUUAUGUUGGUUACAAGUUUGAUAUAUGAAAUGUCA
RNAcentral lists this unclassified non-coding RNA (598 nucleotides) under Hevea brasiliensis (rubber tree). Lineage: Eukaryota; Viridiplantae; Streptophyta; Magnoliopsida; Malpighiales; Euphorbiaceae. The record is from RNAcentral.